Molecule: ribosomal RNA, 433 nt
Filed under: uncultured bacterium
Lineage: Bacteria
Description: partial 16S ribosomal RNA
Rfam family: Bacterial small subunit ribosomal RNA
Source: RNAcentral
AACGAACGCUGGCGGCAUGCCUAACACAUGCAAGUCGAACGAGACCUUCGGGUCUAUUGGCGCACGGGUGCGUAACGCGUGGCAACCUGCCCUUAGGUCCGGAAUAACUCCCCGAAAGGGGUUCUAAUACCGGAUAAUCUCUUCGGACUAAAGAUUAAUCGCCUUUGGAUGGCCCCGCGUUGUAUUAGCUAGUUGGUAGGGUAAAAGCCUACCAAGGCGACGUUCCAUAGCUGGUCUGAGAGGAUGAUCAGCCACACUGGGACUGAGACACGGCCCAGACUCCUACGGGAGGCAGCAGUGGGGAAUAUUGGACAAUGGGCGAAAGCCUGAUCCAGCCAUGCCGCGUGAGUGAUGAAGGCCUUAGGGUUGUAAAGCCCUUUUACCCGGGAUGAUAAUGACAGUACCGGGAGAAUAAGCUCCGGCUAACUCCGUG